RNAcentral lists this long non-coding RNA (1829 nucleotides) under Homo sapiens (human). RNAcentral's name for it is "MIR924 host gene". Lineage: Eukaryota; Metazoa; Chordata; Mammalia; Primates; Hominidae. The record is from RNAcentral.
AGGGGAGUCUGACCUUGUGAGGGAAUACCUGUGUCCCCCCUUUUUUCCCCUUUUUACCCAAUAAAACCCUGCCUUACUCACCCUUUAAAUCAUCUGCGAGCCUGAAUUUUCAUGGCCGUGGGACGGACAAGAACUUUAUCUUCAGCUGAACUAAGAAAAAGUCCUGCAACAUUUUUGGCGCGCAAUGUGGGGGCACCAGAAGCGGGCACCGUUGAGCUGUUGCAACUGUUCUGCUGGAGCCUUAUGUAUGUGGUUGAAACCACCUGUACUACUGGAAUGAAAGCACCUUUACAGAAGAGGCAAUGCAAGUUGUAUUCAUCACAUGUGUAGAAUGAAUUAAGAUUUAUGCCAGUUGCAAAGAAGAAUAUUGGCUCACUAUUUUUCCUCUGGGCAUGUGGAAAUGUAAAUCAGUCCAUGUUACUCACCUCGGAGAAGCAGAAGUACGAUUUACUAUUGUUGCUUGCUUACUUACUCUUAUCAAUUUCUAUGAGAGCUCCCCUCUCCACUGAGGGCUGAUUUCAUCACUCAACAAAAUUCUCCGAAUUCACCAUCCUUCAGUUCAUCCACAUGACCUCAUUCCUCUUGGGCACCGGACAAGAAUUUGGGAUGCACCAAAUGCAGGGGUACAAGCAAUUUUCCAGUCUUGACCCUUUAUCUGUUGACCAAGCUAAGGCAGAAACCAGCUAAAUUCUGGAUUUAAUCUUGAGCAGCAAAAAAGAUCAGCUUUUGAAGUGGAUCUGCUUUUAUUCUUGGCAAAAGUUCAGCGGAGACCAACCAGAGUGGUGACAAAGUUCUUCAACAUCAAGCCAAAUAAAGAGACCUCAAGUAAACCUCCAGCAGCCAUCUGGACUUCCAUGAAAACAGAACAAUCAGUGAGAUGCAGAGCUUGGAGGAGACAGUUUCCAUAGACUGAAGCACGUGCUGAAGCAAAGUUCACACUUGCAGGAUUAGAAGAGGUUGACCGAAAGAAGGAAGGACAUGGACAGCUAUGUUGUUGUGGAGUCCUGUUUUAUAGUCAUAACCUUGAGUCAAGUGAGUUUGUCUGGACAGACAGAGCUUGUUGCCUUUACUUAUAGGGAAGGCACCGGACACAGACAGCCUCAAGGACAUUUGUUCUAGCCUUUCAGUAUCCUUUCUCUUAAUUAUCUCACCUCAUCCAUGAAGCUGGUAUGUACGAUUUUUCCUUUCUUUCUCAAUCCUUUAAAAAAUUAAAGCUCUAAAUCUCAUUUCCACUUAGAUUUUAAUGUUGCAUUGUAACUUAAGAUAAAACCUUGCUCUGAUGUUAAAAAUACUAAAGUAAGAAGCAAUAUGGCAUAGUGCUUAUGAGCAGGACUACAUAGUUCUUUCUGAAUACAAAUCUCAGAUAAAACACUAUCUCAGUGAUCAACCAGGUUAAGCAACCUUUUUAGUGCCUCAAUUAUUCCAUUUGUAAAAUUGUAAUAAUGAUAGUACUAACCUAUAAGAUUGUGGUGAGGAUUAAGUCAGAUAAUACAAAAGAAGCAUUUAGAGUAUUUCCUGGCAUUAUCUACCAUUUAUUGAAUUUUUAUGGUUAAGAAGAAUAAGGAAAAGCAGAAGAAAAGGAAAAGAGAAAAAAUACAUAAGAAGAAGGAAGAGUGGUAAGCUCUAGUAAAUUACAACAAACGGUAACGUAGAAAACAUUUGUUAGCCCUUAAUAUAGGCCAGGCACUGUGUUCAAUGCUUAAACCUCAUUACUGUUCUUUGAAGUGGAUAACAUUAUUCCUUCCAUUUUAAAGAAAGGAAUACUAAAGACAACUUUGUCAAUAUUAUUCAUGUAAUAAAUGACAGAAUUUGACCAAGACAAUAGAGAA